Molecule: unclassified non-coding RNA, 1774 nt
Filed under: Hevea brasiliensis (rubber tree)
Lineage: Eukaryota; Viridiplantae; Streptophyta; Magnoliopsida; Malpighiales; Euphorbiaceae
Source: RNAcentral
AAACUGCUCCUCAGGCAGCUUAACUUGUGGUCUUGACUGGAGAAGGGAUGAGAGCAGAAAUGGUAAAGGAGGUGCCCUUGAUCGAGUUGCAAAAGGUUUCCCUGGUGGACUGUCUUGCAACUUCAAAAGCGCGUUUGCUUCAGCAAGAAUCUUUGAUGCAAAAGAGAGCAAUAACAAAUGAGGUUUCCAAACCUGGCCAUUUGGCAACACCCUCUGCCCAGCCCUAUUUGUCCUGCAUGCUGAGUGGUUCUCUACUAAUGAAACUGGAUUCAUAAGCCGCAUAUCACCAGCUGCCUGACGGAUUGCUUGUUGAACAACAUGAGAACGUUGAGUGACAAACAUGUCAUAACUUGAAGCAGUACCAUUUGGCCCAUCAGGUGGAGCAGACGCUGCAUGAGUCAGGACCACAAUUGCAUUAAACCAUAUGGAUGGACCAAAUAUAUCAGUGAUGGUGCGUAAGAGAGGCAUAUCACCAAAAUCCCUGCUCUGCAUGUCUAACCUAUCCAGAUACAAAACAAUGUCUGGAGGAGUUCUCUUGAUAAAGUACUUAACAGAGUUAAGAAUCUUUUCAUUCUGGCGCUGGUCAGACCCAGAAGGUAGGAGACCUGGUGUAUCUAUGACCCGUACCUUAAUCCCUUGAACAGUGCCAACAACAUCCUGAACUUUUUUUGUACCUAAUUGAAAAGCAUCAGUGCCAAACUUUACUUCAUCAAAUAUUGAAUUGAUGGUUGCACUUUUACCAACUCCUGUCUUCCCAAGAACCAUAAUUGUACAAGAGAAAUCAAGGGGUUCCUGCCCAGCUGCCUCAAGCUGCUCAGCCAUGGCACUUGCACGAUCAAAACUGAAGGCACCAACACGGCCCCCAUUUCUCCCUCGCAGCUGUUCAGCUAAUCCCAGCCUGUAGAGAACCUGUGCUACAACAACAUUAUGUGGAGUCUGCCCUAGCCUAUGGGCAAGCCGCAAAAAUUUCACCCUAAUCAUCUGCAGUUUUUCACGAGUCUCAUUGUACUCAUCACCCUCCCCAUUGGUAGGGUCUUCAAUCUGUUGGGAUUGCACCUGAGACGCAGUUCCAUUAACACGUUGCUGCUGCUGCUGCUGCACUGCCCUAGGUGCAGGUUCCAGUAGUGGGGCGGCACGCCCAAGGCCCGCUGGACGAACAGGCAUAGGAGCAGGACCAGUGGAUUUUUCAGACAGCGAGGCAAGCUUUUCUGGAGUUGGAAUUUCUCGUUCACCAUUUCCUUGAGUUCUUUUCUUCUCUUCAUGAUCUUUUUCCACUUUAUUUUUUGGCUCCUCAAUCACAUUACUCUCUUUGCCAACACCAUUAACUUUUUCAUCAGCACACGGUGGUUCAGUUUUGUUAUACUCUUCUCUAAGAGUUGCUGAAGUAGCUACACAAUCUCGAAUAUCCUCAUUACUCUCAUUCACAAACUUCUCUGAGAGUAAGUUCAAAAUUUCUGGUGCUGCUGUUGCUUCAACUGUAAUUGGGACAGCUGAAUUAGCAUUCAGGUCAUGAAUUUCCUCAUGAUGCCCAGAAUCCACUGGAACAGAGGUGUCUUUCACAUCUCCAUUGCUACCACCUUGGAGCCCCAUGUCCAAAUUUGUUGAAUUAUAGAUCAAUUGUUCACUCUCAGGAACCCCAUUCCCAGAAGCAAGGACAGUAUCAUCACCUUUCAAUUCUCCACUUUUCUCAACCUUAUGACAUUCAGUGUCAACUUUAGGUACAUUAUCAUUCAAAGCAUCACCAUUAUCCUCUUGAAGCUGGACUACACCAACA